CAGAAAGGCAGAAAAAGACCAUGACUUCUCCUUCUCAUUCUCACCUCACAGCUAUCCCACAACGCCUCUCAAAACCCUCCCUUUCCCACUUAAACUCGAAGCCAGUCGGGCUCCGUGUGAGGUC
Molecule: long non-coding RNA, 124 nt
Organism: Humulus lupulus (European hop)
Lineage: Eukaryota; Viridiplantae; Streptophyta; Magnoliopsida; Rosales; Cannabaceae
Exons: 2
Source: RefSeq, a predicted model, not a curated record